RNAcentral lists this unclassified non-coding RNA (218 nucleotides) under uncultured Gammaproteobacteria bacterium. RNAcentral's name for it is "contains 16S-23S intergenic spacer region". The record is from RNAcentral. Lineage: Bacteria; Pseudomonadati; Pseudomonadota; Gammaproteobacteria.
UCCGGUUUGUCACCGGCGGUCUCCCUAGAGUUCCCACCCGAAGUGCUGGCAACUAGGGACAAGGGUUGCGCUCGUUGCGGGACUUAACCCAACAUCUCACGACACGAGCUGACGACAGCCAUGCAGCACCUGUCUCUCGGCUCCCGAAGGCACCCCAGCAUCUCUGCCGGGUUCCGAGGAUGUCAAGACCAGGUAAGGUGGGGAUGACGUAUCGGCAU